RNAcentral lists this ribosomal RNA (241 nucleotides) under uncultured bacterium. RNAcentral's name for it is "partial 16S ribosomal RNA". It matches the Rfam family "Bacterial small subunit ribosomal RNA", at positions 92 to 334 of the family's 1533-position model. The record is from RNAcentral.
CGAGCGGCGAACGGGUGAGUAAUACAUCGGAACGUGUCCCGUAGUGGGGGAUAGCCCGGCGAAAGCCGGAUUAAUACCGCAUAUGCUCUACGGAGGAAAGUGGGGGACUCGCAAGGGCCUCACGUUAUGGGAGCGGCCGAUGUCCGAUUAGCUUGUUGGCGGGGUAAUGGCCCACCAAGGCGACGAUCGGUAGCCGGCCUGAGAGGGUGAUCGGCCACACCGGAACUGAGACACGGUCCGG